RNAcentral lists this ribosomal RNA (402 nucleotides) under uncultured bacterium. RNAcentral's name for it is "bacterial SSU rRNA". It matches the Rfam family "Bacterial small subunit ribosomal RNA", at positions 362 to 757 of the family's 1533-position model. The record is from RNAcentral.
UUUUGGACAAUGGGCGAAAGCCUGAUCCAGCAACGCCGCGUGUGGGAAGAAGGCCUUCGGGUUGUAAACCACUUUUGUACGGAACGAAACGGUUCGCCUUAAUACGGUGGGCUAAUGACGGUACCGUAAGAAUAAGCACCGGCUAACUACGUGCCAGCAGCCGCGGUAAUACGUAGGGUGCGAGCGUUAAUCGGAAUUACUGGGCGUAAAGCGUGCCCAGGCGGUUAUAUAAGACAGAUGUGAAAUCCCCGGGCUCAACCUGGGACCUGCAUUUGUGACUGUAUAGCUAGAGUACGGUAGAGGGGGAUGGAAUUCCGCGUGUAGCAGUGAAUGCGUAGAUAUGCGGAGGAACACCGAUGGCGAAGGCAAUCCCCUGGACCUGUACUGACGCUCAUGCACGAA